RNAcentral lists this ribosomal RNA (1442 nucleotides) under uncultured organism. RNAcentral describes it as "16S ribosomal RNA". It matches the Rfam family "Bacterial small subunit ribosomal RNA". The record is from RNAcentral.
AACGCUAGCGACAGGCUUAACACAUGCAAGUCGAGGGGCAGCACAGGUAGCAAUACCGGGUGGCGACCGGCGCACGGGUGAGUAACGCGUAUGCAACUUACCUAUCAGAGGGGGAUAACCCGGCGAAAGUCGGACUAAUACCGCAUGAAGCAGGGGUCCCGCAUGGGGAUAUUUGCUAAAGAUUCAUCGCUGAUAGAUAGGCAUGCGUUCCAUUAGGCAGUUGGCGGGGUAACGGCCCACCAAACCGACGAUGGAUAGGGGUUCUGAGAGGAAGGUCCCCCACAUUGGUACUGAGACACGGACCAAACUCCUACGGGAGGCAGCAGUGAGGAAUAUUGGUCAAUGGCCGAGAGGCUGAACCAGCCAAGUCGCGUGAGGGAUGAAGGUUCUAUGGAUCGUAAACCUCUUUUAUAAGGGAAUAAAGCGCGGGACGUGUCCCGUUUUGUAUGUACCUUAUGAAUAAGGAUCGGCUAACUCCGUGCCAGCAGCCGCGGUAAUACGGAGGAUCCGAGCGUUAUCCGGAUUUAUUGGGUUUAAAGGGUGCGUAGGCGGCCUUUUAAGUCAGCGGUGAAAGUCUGUGGCUCAACCAUAGAAUUGCCGUUGAAACUGGGGGGCUUGAGUAUGUUUGAGGCAGGCGGAAUGCGUGGUGUAGCGGUGAAAUGCAUAGAUAUCACGCAGAACCCCGAUUGCGAAGGCAGCCUGCCAAGCCAUUACUGACGCUGAUGCACGAAAGCGUGGGGAUCAAACAGGAUUAGAUACCCUGGUAGUCCACGCAGUAAACGAUGAUCACUAGCUGUUUGCGAUACACUGUAAGCGGCACAGCGAAAGCGUUAAGUGAUCCACCUGGGGAGUACGCCGGCAACGGUGAAACUCAAAGGAAUUGACGGGGGCCCGCACAAGCGGAGGAACAUGUGGUUUAAUUCGAUGAUACGCGAGGAACCUUACCCGGGUUUGAACGCAUUCGGACCGAGGUGGAAACACCUUUUCUAGCAAUAGCCGUUUGCGAGGUGCUGCAUGGUCGUCGUCAGCUCGUGCCGUGAGGUGUCGGCUUAAGUGCCAUAACGAGCGCAACCCUUGCCACUAGUUACUAACAGGUAAAGCUGAGGACUCUGGUGGGACUGCCAGCGUAAGCUGCGAGGAAGGCGGGGAUGACGUCAAAUCAGCACGGCCCUUACAUCCGGGGCGACACACGUGUUACAAUGGCGUGGACAAAGGGAAGCCACCUGGCGACAGGGAGCGAAUCCCCAAACCACGUCUCAGUUCGGAUCGGAGUCUGCAACCCGACUCCGUGAAGCUGGAUUCGCUAGUAAUCGCGCAUCAGCCAUGGCGCGGUGAAUACGUUCCCGGGCCUUGUACACACCGCCCGUCAAGCCAUGGGAGCCAGGGGUACCUGAAGUCCGUAACCGCGAGGAUCGGCCUAGGGUAAAACUGGUGACUGGGGC